AUUGAACGCUGGCGGCAGGCCUAACACAUGCAAGUCGAGCGAGCGGCGGACGGGGGAGUAAUGUCUGGGAAACUGCCUGAUGGAGGGGGAUAACUACUGGAAACGGUAGCUAAUACCGCAUACCAUCAGAUGUGCCCAGAUGGGAUUAGCUGGUAGGUGGGGUAACGCCUCACCUGGGCGACGAUCCCUAGCUGGUCUGAGAGGAUGACCAGCAACACUGGAAUUGGGACACGGUCCAGACUCCUACGGAGGGCGGCGGUGGGAAAUAUUGGACAAUGGGCGAAAUCCUAAUGCAGCCCUGCCGCGUGUGUGAAGAGGGCCUUCGGGUUGUAAAGCACUUUCAGCGGGGAGGCGUUACCCGCAGAAGAAGCACCGGCUAACUCCGUGCCAGCAGCCGCGGUAAUUC
Molecule: ribosomal RNA, 406 nt
Filed under: uncultured bacterium
Lineage: Bacteria
Description: partial 16S ribosomal RNA
Rfam family: Bacterial small subunit ribosomal RNA
Source: RNAcentral